AAAGGAAUUGACGGGGACCCGCACAAGCAGUGGAGCAUGUGGUUUAAUUCGAAGCAACGCGAAGAACCUUACCAGGUCUUGACAUCCCUCUGACCGGUCUAGAGAUAGGCCUUUCCUUCGGGACAGAGGAGACAGGUGGUGCAUGGUUGUCGUCAGCUCGUGUCGUGAGAUGUUGGGUUAAGUCCCGCAACGAGCGCAACCCUUGAAUCCAGUUGCCAGCACGUUGGGGUGGGCACUCUGGAUUGACUGCCGGUGACAAACCGGAGGAAGGUGGGGAUGACGUCAAAUCAUCAUGCCCCUUAUGACCUGGGCUACACACGUGCUACAAUGGCCGGUACAACGGGCUUGCGAAGCGGUGACGCGGAGCGAAUCCUUCAAAGCCGGUCUCAGUUCGGAUUGCAGGCUGCAACUCGCCUGCAUGAAGUCGGAAUUGCUAGUAAUCGCGGAUCAGCAUGCCGCGGUGAAUACGUUCCCGGGUCUUGUACACACCGCCCGU
RNAcentral lists this ribosomal RNA (496 nucleotides) under uncultured bacterium. RNAcentral describes it as "bacterial SSU rRNA". It matches the Rfam family "Bacterial small subunit ribosomal RNA", at positions 903 to 1397 of the family's 1533-position model. The record is from RNAcentral.